Long non-coding RNA from Eriocheir sinensis (Chinese mitten crab), 6918 nucleotides. RefSeq lists it as uncharacterized. Lineage: Eukaryota; Metazoa; Arthropoda; Malacostraca; Decapoda; Varunidae. The record is from RefSeq and is a predicted model, not a curated record. The transcript is spliced from 4 exons.
ACACACACACACACACACACCACACACACUCUGCUUUAGUGGUUCCAUAAAAAAUACUUAUCUUACCAUCGUCAUAUCUCUUUUUUUUUUUUUUUUUCAAUAUCUUGCUUGCACGAAUUUCUUUCCAGUAAAUCAUUGCCAAUACUCUGCCUCUGACUGCCCAAUAAACUGAUAAAGGUGUCGAAAUGUGAGUCGUUGGUGAGGGACGUGUGUAAUGGAACGGGGCAGGGUUGGGGAAAAAACUCACGAUAUACUUUGCGAGCAGCGAGGAUCAUGUUUCUUAAUGGUCCCUCCAAGCGAGAAAAAUGAGAAAAAAAUCAUCACUCACACAAACCAUUUCGUAAUAUAUAUCAAAGCAUUUGUGAUCAGUUUAUGCAUCAUCUAUUUUUGGGGGGUUUAUAUCACGGCACAAAUUUGCCCCGUCGCUGCUACACGGUAAAGCCACAAAUUUGCCCCGUCGCUGCUACACGGUAAAGCCACAAAUUUGUCCCGUCGCUGCUACACGGUAAAGCCACAAAUUUGUCCCGUCGCUGCUACACGGUAAAGCCACAAAUUUGUCCCGUCGCUGCUACACGGUAAAGCCACAAAUUUGUCCCGUCGCAGCUACACGGUAAAGCCACAAAUUUGUCCCGUCGCAGCUACACGGUAAAGCCACAAAUUUGUCCCGUCGCUGCAACACGGUAAAGCCACAAAUUUGUCCCGUCGCUGCUACACGGUAAAGCCACAAAUUUGUCCCGUCGCUGCAACACGGUAAAGCCACAAAUUUGGCCCGUCGCUGCUACACGGUAAAGCCACAAAUUUGUCCCGUCGCUGCAACACGGUAAAGCCACAAAUUUGUCCCGUCGCUGCUACACGGUAAAGCCACAAAUUUGUCCCGUCGCUGCUACACGGUAAAGCCACAAAUUUGUCCCGUCGCUGCAACACGGUAAAGUCACAAAUUUGUCCCGUCGCUGCUACACGGUAAAGCCACAAAUUUGUCCCGUCGCGGGUACACGGUAAAGCCACAAAUUUGGCCCGUCGCUGCUACACGGUAAAGCCACAAAUUUGGCCCGUCGCUGCUACACGGUAAAGCCACAAAUUUGGCCCGUCGCUGCUACACGGUAAAGCCACAAAUUUGUCCCGUCGCUGGAACACGGUAAAGCCACAAAUUUGUCCCGUCGCUGCUACCGGGUUAAAUCGAUUCAAAUCACAUGUUUUAGAUCACUGGGAAGAGGCGCUAGGGCCCCAAAACACACUCAGAUUUACGCCCAACCUCUGCAUCAGUUCCCGCGCGCUCUCUCCCCCAAAACUGAGGUCCCCCGCCAAGCUAUCGGCCAUAAAGACGCCAGCCACUUCACACACUCACGAGGGAGGAGGCGGAAAACGUUGCAUCUGGUGAUAUACGCGGUGGCAGACCCAAGUACGAGGAACGGUAUGUGUCACGGGUCUCGGCGGAUAUCAUGAUCUGUAUAACGCAUCUUCGCCUUAAAUUCUACGCUCGCUAACGAUAUCUACUUAUAGCGCAGUGAAGAAAGCGAGACAGUUGUGAUUUGCUCUUGACACUUUCACAAAUAUACUUUAAGUUUAAGGGCUAACGACGUGCCACGGAUAUUGGGUUGAAAUGUAACGCAUCUUCGACAAAAAUCUUACAUUCUCUACUGCGAAGUGAAGCAAAGGAGUUAUUUAUUUUAUACUUUCUCUCGACGUGUGCAAGUACUAGCGAGAUCUUGGGUUGAAAUCAUGAUCUUGUAUCGCAUCUUCGACAAAAAUCUUACAUCCUCUACUGCGAAGUGAAGCAAAGGAGUUAUUUAUUUUAUACUUUCUCUCUCUCGACGUGUGCAAGUACUAGCGAUAUCUUGGGUUGAAAUCAUGAUCUUGUAACGCAUCUUCGACAAAAAACUUACAUUCUCUACUGCGAAGUGAAGCAAAGGAGUUAUUUAUUUUAUACUUUCUCUCGACGUGUGCAAGUACUAGCGAGAUCUUGGGUUGAAAUCAUGAUCUUGUGACGCAUCUUCGACAAAAAUCUUACAUUCUCUACUGCGAAGCGAAGGAAAGGAGGUAGGCUAUUUAUGAUCUACUCUCGCCCUUCUCUCUCAUGAAUAUAAUCUUUGACCUAACGACGUAUGCAAGUACUAGCGAUGUGUCACAGGUCUUGGGUUGAAAUCAUGAUCUUGUAACGCAUCUUCGCUAUAUAUCUUGCGCUUUAUAAUGAUACUUUUGCGAAGCGGAAUAAAAGAGACAUAUAUGAUUUACUCUCGCUGUCUUCACGCAUAAAACUUUAGUACGAGCGAGGUGUCAGAGGUCUUGGGUUGAAAUCACGAUCUUGUAACGCAUCUUCGCUAUAUAUCUUACGCUUUAUAAUGAUACUUUUGCGAAGCGGAGUAAAAGAGACAUAUAUGUUUUACUCUCGCUGUCUUCACGCAUAAAACUUUAGUACUAACGAUAUGUCACGGAUCUUGGGUUGAGAUCAUAAUCUUGUAAGGCAUCUUCGCUAUAUAUCUUACACUUUAUAAUGAUACUUUUGCGAAGCGGAGUAAAAGAGACAUAUAUGAUUUACUCUCGCUGUCUUCACGCAUAAAACUUUAGUACGAGCGAGGUGUCACAGGUCUUGGGUGGAAAAUUAAUCAUGAUCCUGAAAAACAGCCUUGCCAUAAAUCAUUCUACUUUUGGUGAUGAUGUUCACUUUUAGCGCAGCGAAGUAAACGAGCUCUCUGUGAUAUGCUUUUGCCAGCCGUGUUUCCCUUUAUGAGUUUUUUAGCACAAGCGAUGCGUCACAGAUCUUGGGUGGAAAUCAUGUUCUUGAAAUGUAUCUCUGCCGUAAAUACGCUGAGAUUUCGACGGAGAGUUACUUUUGGUGCAGCGGAAUAUACAAGACAUUGGUGAUUUACUCUCCGCGUUUCCCUCAUCGAAUAGAUUUUAGAGUUAACGACGCGUAACGGAUUUUAAGUUUCAUUUGUGGCGUAAACUUUCAAUUAAAUAUUCUGAUUAAGUCUUUCAGGAAUGCCAGUAUAUAAAAGUAAUGACUACCCUCUGCUACAGUUCAGUCAGUCAGUCAGUUGCUCAGUCAGUUGACCUCUCGUUCGGCCACCUCUUUUGAUUCUUUUUUAGGAGCAGCGAGUAGCGGGCUUUUUUUUAUUAUUGUUUCCUUUUUUUGUGCCCUUGAGCUGCCUCCUUUGUUGUAAAAAAGAAAAAAAAACAGAAAAAAAACAGGAAGCAUGAGGAAUAAUAUUAGUGAGUCAAUUAACCAGUCAGUCAAUCAAGUUAUUCGGUCAGUCACUCAAUCAGUCAAUUCACGUUAAAGAUGAGGAGCCAUAUCAGUCAUCAAGAUAAUCAGUCACUCAGUCGCUCACUCAUUCAGGUCACGGAAAACGAGGAAAAAUAUAAGCCACUUCUGUUUUCCUCUCUCUCUCUCUCUCUCUCUCUCUCUCUCUCUCUCUCUCUCUCUCUCUCUCUCUCUCUCUCUCUCUCUCUUCAGAACUACUACUACUACUACUACUACUACUACUACUACUGCUACGCCACACACACAACACUACAGGCUGAUCUCACUUUUAAUCUACGAGGUAACAGCAGACACCUGAACAUGCCAGUAGUACCACGAAAUAGGAGAUGCAGGGCUGAGAUCAUGCUUGUUUCUAAAUUAACGAAGGUAAAAGAAAGACCGAGGAACUUAGGAGAAAGGAAACAGUGGGAAGAGGAAGGGAGAGUAGAGAAGAGGAGGAGGCGAGGAGGAUACGAUAUUUGAGAAGAGGAGGAGGCGAGGAGGAUACGAUAUUUGAGAAGAGGAGAUGAAUGGAGAGGUGGGAUAGGAAAAACGAGAAGAGAAGAGAGGAUUAUAAGAGUAGGGGGGAGAGGAAAAGAGAAGAGAGGAGACGAAUAGAAGAGGAGAGAUGAUGAAAAGAGAGGAAAGAAACAUACAAUAGAAAAUAAAGAAAAAAAGGAAAGGAGAAAAGAGGAAAAGGAAGGAGAAAAGAAAAUUAAUAUAAGAAAACAAGGAAGAGAGAGAGAGAGAGAGAGAGAGAGAGAGAGAGAGAGAGAGAGAGAGAGAGAGAGAGAGAGAGAGAGAGAGAGAGAGAGAGAGAGAGAGAGAGAAACGACCCUACAGCAGGAUAUGAUUGUGAAAGUGAUACGAGAGAGAGAGAGAGAGAGAGAGAGAGAGAGAGAGAGAGAGAGAGAGAGAGAGAGAGAGAGAGAGAGAGAGAGAGAGAGAGAGAGAGAGAGAGAGAGAGAGAGUGUUCCGUGAUGUGAGAGAUAAGAUUAGAUUCCCACACAUUCUCAAAGAUAUUUUCACUCCUCUUCCUCCUCUUCUUCUUCUUCCUCCUCCUCCCCCCCCCCCCCCUCAACCGUGAUUUCUUUCUCUUCUCUCUCUUGCUCUUCCGUGACCUUGGCGCCGCGCUGCGUAACACAACAUAGGAGAGACGCGGAGAGCCAUUCAUGAGGUAGGUAUUUCCAGCACCGUUGCCAGAUUAUCGUACUCAGAGCCUCGUGACAUAACAUAGGAGAGACGCGGAGAUCCAUUCAUGAGGUAGGCAUUCUCAGCACCGUUGUCAGAUUAUCGUACUCAGAGCCUCGUGACAUAACAUAGGAGAGACGCGGAGGGCCAUUCAUGAGAUAGGUAUUCUCAGCACGGUUGUCAGAUUAUCGUACUCAGAGCCUCGUAACAUAACAUAGGAGAGACGCGGAGGGCCAUUCAUGAGGUAGGUAUUCUCAGCACCGUUGCCAGAAGGGUCAAACUACCAGUAGGAUCAUAUAACUACCCCUGAGAAUGCCCCAGACUCAUACGAAAGCCUUAUCAAAUGGUUGUUUUUAGGUCCGUGGUACAGAAGAAGGGUCAAACUACCAAUAGGAUCAUAUAACUACCCCUGAGAAUGCCCCAAACUCCUACGAAAGCCUUGUCAAAUGGUUGUUUUUUAGGUCCGUGGUACAGAAGAAGGGUCAAACUACCAAUAGGAUCAUAUAACUACCCCAGAGAAUGCCCCAAACUCCUACGAAAGCCUUGUCAAAUGGUUGUUUUUUUAGGUCCAUGGUACUGAAGAAGGGUCAAACUACCAGUAGGAUCAUAUAACUACCCCUGAGAAUGCCCCAAACUCCUACGAAAGCCUUGUCAAAUGAUUGUUUUUUAGGUGCGUGGUACAGAAGAAGGGUCAAACUACCAGCAGGAUCAUAUAACUACCCCUGAGAAUGCCCCAAACUCCUACGAAUGCCUUGUCAAAUGAUUGUUUUUUAGGUCCGUGGUACAGAAGAAGGGUCAAACUACCAGCAGGAUCAUACAACUACCCCUGAGAAUGCCCCAAACUCCUACGAAAGCCUUAUCAAAUGGUUGUUUUUUAGGUCCGUGGUAUGGAAGAAGGGUCAAACUACCAGCAGGGUCAUAUAACUACCCCGGAGAAUGCCCCAAAAUCCUACGAAAACCGAAAUGAUUAGAAAUAUGGACCCUGGAACUAACCCUACCCCAAGCACUCAAGGCCACAUAGCUGCAAGGAUUAGCGAGGCGCCGGAGAGCCGAAGACGAGAAGUUCGAAGACUCACGCCGGAGCUCUGACGCCCAUGGUCCCGCAGCCUCACACAACAGAUAUGACCAAAAGUCCACAAAGGAGGUUAGUAGCGUUCUCAUGAGUGUUUAUCACGUUCAUGGUGCAGCAGUCUUUGUCAAACUAUCACUUGGCUCAUAAAACUACCCGUGGAAAUACCCACAGCAGCCUCGACGAAGGACUUAACAAAUGUGGGCAGGUUUGCGCAAGCCGCGAUAUGUUUGUGACUACAGGUUUCAUAGACUUCGGAGCUCACACACAUGCCCGCACUUGUUAUGCCUUUCGUUGAAGUUGUUGUAUUAGUAUUAUUUCCAUCAUCGGCAGACUUAUGAGCCUGGCGCCUGUUUGACAAGGCUUCUUCAUCAUAAACGUGACACAGCACUCAUGAGAAGCCGACUGAUCUCUAUUGUGGCCUUGAGAAGUCGCUGUUUUGAAAGCCGAGAGCGUCUGUAUUUUCAUCACCGGUAAUUUUACGAGCCUAGCGCCAGUUUGACAAGGCUUUUCCACCCUAAACGUGACAAAGCCCCCAUGAGAACCCGACUGAUCUCUAUUGUGGCCUUGAGAAGUCGCUGUUUUGAAAGCCGAGAACGUCUGGGUGUACGGGCCUUUUGCGGGUUCCUAAUAACUGUCACCUCGAGGAAUUUAUUGUUUCAGGGCCGAGCGUGUGAAUGGUGACAGCAGGCUCAUAUCGAUGGCGUCGUGUGUUGCCCGUUGCGCAAGACGUCGGUUUGAACAAGAUCAGAAAAGGGAUUAAGAUGAAUGGAUGGAAGUAAGGAAGAAGAGAAAAUGAGGAAGAUGAUGAAAAAGAAGGAGAAGAAGGAAGGGGAGGAGAAAGCGGAGGAGAAAAGGAGGAAGAUAAUGAAAAUGGAAGGAGGAGGAAAAAGGGGAAGGACGAGGAAGAGGAUGAACGAAGGAGAGCAACGGAGGAUAAAUAAAAGGAGGAGGAGGAGAGGAGAAAGAUAAAGAAAACAAGACCAAAAGGGAAAAGGUGGAUAAAGGGAAGCGAAGGAAACGAAAGGAUGAUAAACAGAAGGAAAGGGAGGAGGAGGAGAUUGAAAAGGUCACGGCUGGAAAGAAAGAGUGAAUAGAAUGAUGAAGAAGGAAAAAAAAGAGGCUGAAUAAAUAAUGAACGAAGGAGACCAAGGAAUGAUACACAGGAGGAGGAGGAGGAGGAGGAGGAGAAAAGGAGAGAGAGAGAGAGAGAGAGAGAGAGAGAGAGAGAGAGAGAGAGAGAGAGAGAGAGAGAGAGAGAGAGAUUGAUUGACUGAUUGGCCUCAAGCUUGUAGUUACAUAGAUUUUACACAUUGUCUUUAAGAGCCACUGGUCCACUGAGCCGUAGCCGUAGAGAGAGAGAGAGAGAGAGAGAGAGAGAGAGAGAGAGAGAGAGAGAGAGAGAGAGAGAGAGAGA